Molecule: ribosomal RNA, 504 nt
Filed under: uncultured bacterium
Lineage: Bacteria
Description: partial 16S ribosomal RNA
Rfam family: Bacterial small subunit ribosomal RNA
Source: RNAcentral
AUUGAACGCUGGCGGCAGGCCUAACACAUGCAAGUCGAGCGGUAGCACAGAGAGCUUGCUCUCGGGUGACGAGCGGCGGACGGGUGGGUAAUGUCUGGGAAACUGCCUGAUGGAGGGGGAUAACUACCGGAAACGGUAGCUAAUACCGCAUAACGUCGCAAGACCAAAGAGGGGGACCUUCGGGCCUCUUGCCAUCAGAUGUGCCCAGAUGGGAUUAGCUAGUAGGUGGGGUAACGGCUCACCUAGGCGACGAUCCCUAGCUGGUCUGAGAGGAUGACCAGCCACAAUGGAACUGAGACACGGUCCAGACUCCUACGGGAGGCAGCAGUGGGGAAUAUUGCACAAUGGGCGCAAGCCUGAUGCAGCCAUGCCGCGUGUAUGAAGAAGGCCUUCGGGUUGUAAAGUACUUUCAGCGGGGAGGAAGGUGUUGAGGUUAAUAACCUCAGCAAUUGACGUUACCCGCAGAAGAAGCACCGGCUAACUCCGUGCCAGCCGCCGCCGUAA